CAAGCAUCCAAAUCUCUCGCCAAACCCUAAAACCAAAGAAAAAAGUAAUAAGCCUUCUAUAUAAGCAGCGGCAACAUCAUAGAAGCAAAUUCUGGCGGCCAGCGGAAACCCUAAUUUCCCGAAAGAAGAAAUGGCGGUUCCACUUUUAAGUAAGAAGAUCGUGAAGAAGAGGGUCAAGAAGUUCAAGAGACCCCAAAGUGACCGCAAAAUCUCCGUCAAGACGAACUGGCGUAGACCAAAGGGUAUUGAUUCUCGUGUUUGAAGGAAGUUUAAGGGAUGCACUUUGAUACCCAACAUUGGUUAUGGUUCAGACAAGAAGACACGUCACUAUCUUCCGAAUGGUUUCAAGAAAUUUGUCGUGCACAAUGUUGGAGAGCUUGAACUGUUGAUGCAAAACAGGCACCGUUAACUUACCAAGA
Long non-coding RNA from Hibiscus syriacus, 419 nucleotides. RefSeq lists it as uncharacterized. The transcript has 3 exons. The record is from RefSeq and is a predicted model, not a curated record. Lineage: Eukaryota; Viridiplantae; Streptophyta; Magnoliopsida; Malvales; Malvaceae.